GAAAUAAGAUAAUCAAGAAGAAACUUCUAAUUUCAUAUCUUAAGCAGUGAAAUUCUGUUUUUAUUUCU
RNAcentral lists this transfer RNA (68 nucleotides) under Eucnemidae sp. GENSP01. RNAcentral describes it as "tRNA-Ser". The record is from RNAcentral. Lineage: Eukaryota; Metazoa; Arthropoda; Insecta; Coleoptera; Eucnemidae.